GUUCAUUGUGACUGAUAGCAAAAUUUAAAGGAAAGAUGAUGGUACGACCAAAGCUAUGUAUGUGGACAAGAGAUAUUACCCCUGUGUGGUGCUCAGUGAAAGUGAAGAUAAAGACCAGCUGAUAAAGACAAAAAAUGUCAUACAUUCAACAGCCAAGAAACAAGGUGGAUCAUCAGGAUCAGCCGGAAAGGAGAAGAAAGACAAACAAGCAGGGGAGAAAAAUAAGAGGAAAGGCCCUUCUGUUUCCAACGAUCAAACCCAGGAAGACAAGUUGAAAACUGUAAAGGAGAAAGAAGAGAAAAAAAUGGAAAAAAAUCCAAAGAAAAAGGCACUAGAUGAAAGAGAUUUGAACGUCCUUGGGCAGAUGUCACAGUUGAAUAGGUCCAUAGUCAUUGUUGACAAGCUCAGGAGAGAUACUGAAGGAAAAGAGAAGGAACUUGAGAGAAAGAGGGGUGAACUUGAGAGAAGGGAGAAGGAACAUACAAAGGAAAGAACGUGUGGUACAAGAACCAAACUUACAAGAAAGGAGAGAACAAGAGGAAGUAUUUCAAGAAAUGCGUCGCAUGGUGCAAGGGCCCUCCAGGGGGGGGGAGGAGGAGGAGGAUAAAGAUGACAAGGAGUAUGAUGAGGAAAAUUUUGAUCUUAGACUUUAGAAAAGGAAGUCCAAAGGAAAGAACAUGUGGUACAAGAAGAAGAGGAAGACUUUAGAAGAGUGAUGCCCUCAGACCAGGAAAAGUGUCAAGGGUUUUUGCUGAAAGACAUCAUAUCAAAUUACACCUCCAUGGCUCAAUUACCAUUUAUUAUUACAGUUAAUGAACUCCUCUACAUUUGCAAGAGAAUCCAAGUAUUGACUAAGUCUAUUGCUAAGAGAAUCAUGUGCUUUUUCAGGUUUAUUCACUGUUUACAAACUGAUUUUGAAUUUAACAGCCAUGUAUAUGAAUGUCACUAUUUACUGCUGUAAGAGAAGGGUGAAACACAGGAUUAAAGAAGUAUUGCACAACACAUAUUCCAUUACUGUUGAUGAAAUGAAGACAGUCCAAAUAUAUAUUAUUUUCUUACUUGUUAAAAAAAAGAGAAGAGCAGGGUAGAUUUUGAGAACAGGAGAUGUGGUGCCAUUUUUGCAUUGAUCAAAGGCACAGUUACCCAGGAGGGCUAGUAUGAAAAGGAUCAUGCCGCCAGUGGUGCUUGAAGACCUGGAUGAGUAGGUUUUUAUAUGGCUAGGUUGAUUUGCACCUGUAUGAAGAACAGAAUAAUUUUGUUAGAGUUUGUUGAAUUACAUUUAUAUCUCUCUUACGUCAUGUUUGGUAGAGUCAGCAGAAGUAGUAUUAGCCUUGAAUUACAAGAAAUGGUAAUUAAAGUCCAAGUGGUCAGUUCA
RNA transcript from Pocillopora damicornis (cauliflower coral), 1375 nucleotides. RefSeq lists it as uncharacterized. NCBI's taxonomy places the organism in Eukaryota, Metazoa, Cnidaria, Anthozoa, Scleractinia, Pocilloporidae. The record is from RefSeq and is a predicted model, not a curated record.